GCGUCACCAAUAUUACCAGAGUCCUCAUCCGGUGAGAAUGAGAUCGUGCUUAAUCAGGAAUAUUCCGUCAGUAAAAGAAGAAGAUUGGGAUUAGAACACGAAUUAAACAGACAAACAGUCUCUGCCACCAUCUAUAAAUCCGACCCGCACCCAACCCCCCUCCCCACAACCCCCACCACCGAAAACAAUCACAGAAAAACUCGAAAAAGCUCCAGGCUCCAUCUCGAG
This 228-nucleotide long non-coding RNA is filed under the name Hordeum vulgare. RNAcentral's name for it is "long non-coding RNA (HVUL_LNC005975)". Lineage: Eukaryota; Viridiplantae; Streptophyta; Magnoliopsida; Poales; Poaceae. The record is from RNAcentral.